This 279-nucleotide ribosomal RNA is filed under the name Triticum aestivum (bread wheat). RNAcentral describes it as "partial small subunit ribosomal RNA". Lineage: Eukaryota; Viridiplantae; Streptophyta; Magnoliopsida; Poales; Poaceae. The record is from RNAcentral.
AUGCUACACCAGCUAGGGGCUCCACGGAUCAUGCUGAAGCUCGACUUAACGCGCGCCUUCGACACCAUAUCAUGGCCAUUUCUAUUUGAGGUCCUGCGACAAUACGGGUUCGGAGACAGAUUCAUGGAGUGGCUCGCAAUCCUGCUUUCGACAGCGAGCACUCGCGUCCUGCUGAAUGGAGAGCCAGGACCCCCCAUAUGGCACCGCGUUGGCCUGAGACAAGGCGACCCCGUGUCCCCCAGCUCUUCGUGCUCGCCGUGGACACGCUUGGCAGGCUGA